AACCGUGUGCUUACAAGUAGUCAGAGCCCGUUAAUGGGUGAUGGCGUGCCUUUUGUAGAAUGAACCGGCGAGUUACGAUUUGAUGCAAGGUUAAGCAGUAAAUGUGGAGCCGUAGCGAAAGCGAGUCUGAAUAGGGCGUUUAGUAUUUGGUCGUAGACCCGAAACCAGGUGAUCUACCCUUGGUCAGGUUGAAGUUCAGGUAACACUGAAUGGAGGACCGAACCGACUUACGUUGAAAAGUGAGCGGAUGAACUGAGGGUAGCGGAGAAAUUCCAAUCGAACCUGGAGAUAGCUGGUUCUCUCCGAAAUAGCUUUAGGGCUAGCCUCAAGUGAUGAUUAUUGGAGGUAGAGCACUGUUUGGACGAGGGGCCCCUCUCGGGUUACCGAAUUCAGACAAACUCCGAAUGCCAAUUAAUUUAACUUGGGAGUCAGAACAUGGGUGAUAAGGUCCGUGUUCGAAAGGGAAACAGCCCAGACCACCAGCUAAGGUCCCAAAAUAUAUGUUAAGUGGAAAAGGAUGUGGCGUUGCCCAGACAACUAGGAUGUUGGCUUAGAAGCAGCCAUCAUUUAAAGAGUGCGUAAUAGCUCACUAGUCGAGUGACACUGCGCCGAAAAUGUACCGGGGCUAAACAUAUUACCGAAGCUGUGGAUUGUCCUUUGGACAAUGGUAGGAGAGCGUUCUAAGGGCGUUGAAGCAUGAUCGUAAGGACAUGUGGAGCGCUUAGAAGUGAGAAUGCCGGUGUGAGUAGCGAAAGACGGGUGAGAAUCCCGUCCACCGAUUGACUAAGGUUUCCAGAGGAAGGCUCGUCCGCUCUGGGUUAGUCGGGUCCUAAGCUGAGGCCGACAGGCGUAGGCGAUGGAUAACAGGUUGAUAUUCCUGUACCACCUAUAAUCGUUUUAAUCGAUGGGGGGACGCAGUAGGAUAGGCGAAGCGUGCGAUUGGAUUGCACGUCUAAGCAGUAAGGCUGAGUAUUAGGCAAAUCCGGUACUCGUUAAGGCUGAGC
This 1004-nucleotide ribosomal RNA is filed under the name Staphylococcus aureus. RNAcentral describes it as "partial 23S ribosomal RNA". It matches the Rfam family "Bacterial large subunit ribosomal RNA", at positions 554 to 1561 of the family's 2925-position model. Lineage: Bacteria; Bacillati; Bacillota; Bacilli; Caryophanales; Staphylococcaceae. The record is from RNAcentral.